GACAGAGGGUGCAAACGUUGUUCGGAAUUACUGGGCGUAAAGCGCGUGUAGGCGGCCAUCUAAGACGGGCGUGAAAUCCCACGGCUCAACCGUGGAAGUGCACUCGAAACUGGAUGGCUAGAGUCCUGGAGAGGAAGGUGGAAUGCUUGGUGUAGAGGUGAAAUUCGUAGAUAUCAAGCGGAACACCGGUGGCGAAGGCGGCCUUCUGGACAGUGACGUGACGCUGAGACGCGAAAGCGUGGGGAGCAAACAGGG
This 255-nucleotide ribosomal RNA is filed under the name uncultured bacterium. RNAcentral's name for it is "partial 16S ribosomal RNA". It matches the Rfam family "Bacterial small subunit ribosomal RNA", at positions 524 to 777 of the family's 1533-position model. The record is from RNAcentral.